Molecule: small nucleolar RNA, 133 nt
Organism: Echinops telfairi (small Madagascar hedgehog)
Lineage: Eukaryota; Metazoa; Chordata; Mammalia; Afrosoricida; Tenrecidae
Source: Ensembl
CAGCAUCUACUGAUAGACCUGGGACAAUUGACUGUUGUUCCUUUGGUUUGCACUAGGAUGCUAAAGAAUAAAAAAUCCCCGCACUUUCUGUCUGUCUUUGUGGCUGGUCCAGAUUGAAUGGGGGAUUACAUAC